GGAUCAGUACGCCGGUCGUGCCUUCGGUAUGUACUGACGUUACUGAUUUCUACCUUCUGACGAACCGUCAUGCCAUUAAUUUGGUGUGGCGGGGAAUCAGGACUGUUACUUUGAAAAAAUUAGAGUGCUUAAAGCAGGCUAACGCUUGAAUACAUUAGCAUGGAAUAACGGAAUAGGACGCUUGAUUCUAUUUUGUUGGUUUCUAGGAUCAACGUA
Molecule: ribosomal RNA, 216 nt
Filed under: uncultured fungus
Lineage: Eukaryota; Fungi
Description: partial small subunit ribosomal RNA
Rfam family: Eukaryotic small subunit ribosomal RNA (bases 40-216)
Source: RNAcentral